AUCUGCUCCGGGGAUCUCCUCGCUCUGAGGCGUUUUUUGAUUACCCCCCCGGGUUCUGACCCACUUUCAUGUUCUUGCUUGUUCAUCAAUCGCACUCCUGCUGGCCAUGCAUCUUUCAAUUUUAUUUCCUAUCUAUCUACUUUGGAUGGUAAGAUACAUACCUUCCAUGGAGCUGACGGCUGACGGAUGAUUAGGGUUCCAUUCCGGAGAGGGAGCCUGACAAACGGCUACCACAUCGAAGGAAGGCAGCACGCGCGCUAAUUACCCAAUCCUGACACAGGUAGGUACUGACAAUAAAUAACAAUACCGGGCUCUUUCCGGCCGGUUAAUGGGAAUAAUACCAACCCAAUCCCCUAAGGAGGAAUCAUUGGGAGGGAAGGGUGGGGGCAGCCGCCGGGGUUAUUUCUCCUUCAAUAAAAAAAAAUAAAAA
RNAcentral lists this ribosomal RNA (430 nucleotides) under Actinella sp. DBBT-08. RNAcentral describes it as "partial 18S ribosomal RNA". It matches the Rfam family "Eukaryotic small subunit ribosomal RNA", at positions 171 to 596 of the family's 1831-position model. Lineage: Eukaryota; Bacillariophyta; Bacillariophyceae; Eunotiales; Eunotiaceae. The record is from RNAcentral.